Molecule: long non-coding RNA, 219 nt
Filed under: Elaeis guineensis (African oil palm)
Lineage: Eukaryota; Viridiplantae; Streptophyta; Magnoliopsida; Arecales; Arecaceae
Description: long non-coding RNA (EGUI_LNC040624)
Source: RNAcentral
AGAAGUAGUGUUGAUGAGAUUAUGGUUGCAUACCUUGCGAGGUCCCUUGUAGAUCUUUUCAUAGGAUGAAAUCAUGUAACCAUCGAGAGAGAUCAUGGGGGCGAUUACGGUGCAACGUGAAGAGACUCCCGAUCGGGAUAGUUAUUGUACUUUUCUUUUCCAUUCUGAAAUCCACUGAAAGUCGUGGGUGAUUUUGAAUUUUGAAUUAAGGUGUAGGUG